This 597-nucleotide long non-coding RNA is filed under the name Olea europaea subsp. europaea. Lineage: Eukaryota; Viridiplantae; Streptophyta; Magnoliopsida; Lamiales; Oleaceae. The record is from RNAcentral.
GCUCGAUAAAAGUUUCUAUCUUACAUAUCUAGUAGAUGCAUGACCGAGUGACCGACAAGAUGACAAUCUAACAGAUGUUAAGAUAACCAUCUAAAACUCUACAAGGCUAACUAGAAAAGGAGUUCCGUCUUGCUCUCUCACAUAACAAGUUGAUCAUCUCUAAGACUAUGCACUUAUGUGGUUCAUUUCACAAAAUUCAUGACUUUUAUCAAUUUUUUAACCAUACAUUUGAUUAACCUUUAUCAAAAUUUACUAAAAAUCUGAUUUAUAAAAAAACCAAAAAGGGUCUACGACUCUACUGGACUUAAUGAUGAGCGCCCCUCUCUUGUCUAGUGAAGCGUGGUGAUCUUCCAUGACCCCGUCAUACAUGCUUUCAGACAAGGAUAUACACAAUAAAUGCAUUCUAUAUAUGUUUCGAAUAUAUAAAUCUUUCUCCAUGUUAUUUCUUAAUGUAAUUUUCUUCUUGUUAUUCUUAUAGAACUAUGCAUCAUUUUCCUACUUUUUAAACUCUUUUUUUUCCUAGUAAUUAAGAAGGUCGCAUUUACUACCUAUUUACCAAUAGAGUUUUCCCAAAUGCUUCACAGUGUUUAAAGAAAG